RNAcentral lists this ribosomal RNA (659 nucleotides) under Chondracanthus acicularis. RNAcentral's name for it is "eukaryotic LSU rRNA". It matches the Rfam family "Eukaryotic large subunit ribosomal RNA", at positions 334 to 1078 of the family's 3401-position model. The record is from RNAcentral. Lineage: Eukaryota; Rhodophyta; Florideophyceae; Gigartinales; Gigartinaceae.
CCGAUAGCGAACAAGUACCGUGAGGGAAAGAUGACAAGCACUUUGAAAAGAGGGUGAAAAGAGCCUGAAACCGUCACGGGGGAAGCGGAUUGCGUUGGAUUGAUGGGCGCUUGUGUGUUCAGCCUUCGGGUGCAUUGGCACAAGUGCUUAUCCGCUGUGAGUUUUCGGGGGUCGAUUUUGGACCCCUGGGGACUGAGGGCUCCCUUCUUUUAGGUGAGGACAGCGGAGUGACGACGCGAUACGACCCGUCUUGAAACACGGACCAAGGAGUCUAGCGCGGGUGCGAGUCGGAGGGUGCAAGCCCGUGGGCGAAGUGAAAGCGAGUUUUAAAAACGAGCAGUUUGGGGCGGCAUAAGAUCGUUGAUCUUAAGACCGACCCGGAGCAGUUGCGCUGGGACCCGAAAGAUGGUGAACUAUGCCGGAGUAGGGCAAAGCCAGAGGAAACUCUGGUGGAGGCUCGUAGCGGUGCUGACGUGCAAAUCGCUCGUCGAACUUGGGUAUAGGGGCGAAAGACUAAUCGAACCAUCUAGUAGCUGGUUCCCUCCGAAGUUUCUCUCAGGAUAGCGGGCCGACAAGUUGUUUUGUGCGGUAAAGCGAAUGAUUAGCGCAUUCGGGGGCGUUUAGCCUUUGGGCGAUUCUCAAACUUUCAAUGCGCAAGG